CCGGGCUGUGGCUUACAUUGCCUGGGGUGCCUGCGGCCAACCCGCUGUCCUCCACAGUUUGGGGAAGGGCCUGGUGGGGGGGUUGCUGAAUCCUUCCAUGGGAUUCCUUCCUGCGGCAGGUGUGAAGAGACCUUUUGUGCCCGUUCCAUUUCCCGUCUCUGCUCUGCAGCCCGACUCAGCCUUCUCAAGUACCUCUCUGGGCCCUUCCUUUCCUGGUCAAAGUCCUCAGCUGCUUGCCUUGAUCCCCAGGUAGAUGCCUGCCUCCUGAGCGUGGGUGGUGCCCCAGCCUUCCCGGUCUGGUCCUGCCCCCUCUCCAGCCGCCUUCAGCCCUCCCCGAGGAAUGCACUGGGGGCCGUCGCAGGGGCUGGGGCAGAGCAGGGGGCAUGAGACCUGUCCCUCACCAGCUCCCAUGCUGCGGGAUCCAAGUGCCUGCUCCCAGGCCUCUGCACACACACCACACUGUUCCCUCUGCUUUGCCUGCUGUGCCCUCUGGGCUUCUUUCCCCUGGGAAAAAGCCUCUUUACAUUUCAAGGCUGGUCCCUCAUUUCCAGCAGAAAACUGUUUUCCUGGACUGUCUUUUUCUUGGCUUACGGAUUUGUGACUGCACUUUCCCAAGAAGUGUUGAAGCUCGGCUCACAUUUUUGUGUGGAGAACCAGCUAACCCCUUCCUCAAAGUUUUUGUGAGGAAAAGUAAUUUAAAUGUUUGAAAAAGAGUUGUAACCUGGUAAAGUGCCUCCGAAGGCUGCUGAGUGCCUCAGAGAGCAGGUACCGCGUGCUUGCUGCGUGUGGGUGUUCGGGCCAGGUACUUUGGGGUUAUGUGUGUCAACGUGACCUGGUCCCUACCUGCCAUCACCUGGGGGGGGGGCUGUGAACAAUUCCUGUCAGUGUUGAUAGGAGACAGUGAGACUGUGCCAUCAACGGUAGUCUCCGUGACCCUGGACCCUCAGAACAAGCCUGCGAAGUAGGUACUAUCAUAUUACCUUCUAUGAGUAUCCCCAUUUAACAGAUGAGAAACUGAGGCCCAGAGGGAUGAAGUAGCUUGUCCAGGAUCAAAUACAUAGCAAAUACUGGAACUGGGAUUUGCAGCUGGCAAUUGAGAAGGAGGCUGGAAUCCAGAGAAGAGGGUUCUGGAGUUCAGAGGGGAGUCCAGCUUCCCACGGGGGGUGGGGGGGGAGGAAGGUGACCUGGGGUGGGUGCAGGCCAGAGCGGGGAACGUGUUUCCUAGGCAGCCUGCAGGGAAGACUGAAAAUGCCCCAUGUUUGGGGGUGGGGGAGACGCUGAUGAGAGUCUGGGGAGCACAGGAGGGGCACAGGGAGAGGUGGAGCUGUGGCACUCAACUGGGGCUCCCGGGGACUUUUUUUUUGGCCACCCGCAGCAUAUGGAGUUCUGGGCCAGGGAUUAGAUCCCAGUUGCAGGUGCCACCUAGCCUGCAGCUGUGGCAAUGCCAGCUCCUUAAUCCACCGUGCCGGGCUGGGGUUCAAAUCUGCGUCCCAGUGCUCCUAAGACACUGCCGAUCCCAUUGCACCGCAGGGUUUGACUUUUAAUGCAGGGGUGACAGAUGGCUGGUCUGUCCACAUGCUGUCACAUGGGCAGCUCCUACGGGUCACCAGCACCCUUCCUCCGUUUCUUCAAGGGACAAAGCGACUUUGCUCUAGAGCAGAACACUGAUCGUCCCACACAUAUGUCCCUACUUUUGUUGCUGUCGCUGUGAGGUUUUUAAACUGGAGACCAUUUCACUUUCACACACCAACCACAAUGUCGAAUAAAUUGGUUGAACUUGUAGAUUUAUAUCCGCA
This 1796-nucleotide long non-coding RNA is filed under the name Sus scrofa (pig). RNAcentral's name for it is "lncRNA (ENSSSCG00025062838.1)". Lineage: Eukaryota; Metazoa; Chordata; Mammalia; Artiodactyla; Suidae. The record is from RNAcentral.